UACAGAGGGGGCAAGCGUUGUUCGGAAUUACUGGGCGUAAAGGGCGCGUAGGCGGCCUUCUAAGUCGAACGUGAAAUCCCCGGGCUCAACCCGGGAACUGCGUCCGAUACUGGAAGGCUUGAAUCCGGGAGAGGGAUGCGGAAUUCCAGGUGUAGCGGUGAAAUGCGUAGAUAUCUGGAGGAACACCGGUGGCGAAGGCGGCAUCCUGGACCGGCAUUGACGCUGAGGCGCGAAAGCGUGGGGAGCGAUCCGG
Molecule: ribosomal RNA, 253 nt
Filed under: uncultured bacterium
Lineage: Bacteria
Description: partial 16S ribosomal RNA
Rfam family: Bacterial small subunit ribosomal RNA
Source: RNAcentral